This 877-nucleotide long non-coding RNA is filed under the name Androctonus crassicauda. Lineage: Eukaryota; Metazoa; Arthropoda; Arachnida; Scorpiones; Buthidae. The record is from RNAcentral.
GCUCGUCUUUCUCUUUUUGAUUUAAAAUAUAAUAAACUACCAAUUUUAAUUAUAACUUUGAUAGUAGUAGUCAUUAGAGAAAUUAUUUCUGUUCCUUGAGCGUUUGCACAUGCUAUCGAAGCUAAACAUAAUACAUAGUUCCAUGCAACACGGUUAUCCAUUUUGCUUGUAUAAACCGCUUUCUUAUAAACUUGUUUGUGAUUGGCUCACUUUUGGCUAGACGGAUCGAUGUACGGAUAGUAGUGUGAACACUUUUGACGGAAUCGAUUACAAAUGACGGAGAGACGGAGACGGAACGUAGCUCUAGUGGGAACCAAAUACCUUACUACGCUUUCUGUCCAUCCAUUCUUCCGUCACCAAAAGUCCCAUCGAUAAAAUGAGCGGAGAGAGAAGGAAAAUCCCCUGGACCGCAAAAAAGCGGUAGACCGCUGACGAUUAAUUACCGGGACAGAUGCCCCACCCAUAGCAAUUGGUUAUUAUUGAAAGGGAAAGUAUGCCUCCUAUCCCACUAUCGAGGUGCAUCGUCUAUCGGAAUAUUUUUUAAAUAAUAUUGUACUAUUUUUUGGUAAAGAGCAAUACAGAUGGGUUUAAUUAGCCACAAUCCCGUGGGCUUUUCGACCCCAUCCGUUGUCGAAAGGUAUAUACCAAUCGGGAGGGCCGAUCAAUUAUCUGCUGUCAGUAUUAUCCCAUUUACACCCAACUCAUCAAAACCGGAUAUACUAACCUAUUCUUGUAGAGUAAAAGUUGUGAUCGGUGGGAAAAGACGGGACGUCUCUCCCUCGGCCGAGGAAAAGUAGCCAACAGAUUAAAACUAACAAUAAACGUAGAGAAUAACGGGAUGGGUGGAUGGUCUCGCAAUCAGAUACGUAAUUCUGGC